RNAcentral lists this long non-coding RNA (246 nucleotides) under Elaeis guineensis (African oil palm). RNAcentral's name for it is "long non-coding RNA (EGUI_LNC048880)". Lineage: Eukaryota; Viridiplantae; Streptophyta; Magnoliopsida; Arecales; Arecaceae. The record is from RNAcentral.
CCAAUUGUGACUUUACAAACUCAAUUGGAUCAAUCUAAGAUUAAUUUUCUUAUUGUAUGACCCCAUAGAUUCAAUUUUGUCUGAUAGUGAGAUAUACCAUAAUCUCUAUUAUAGUAUCAUUGAACUUCUUUCAAUGGGUUGAAACAAUUCCAACUCACUCCUAUCAAGAAUCAUCGAUCCAUUAUGAUCCUAGUAAGCUCUCACAAUCCACCAGUGACAUCUAGCAAUAUAUAGUAGCAUGCCAGC